CCUACGGGUGGCUGCAGUGGGGAAUAUUGCACAAUGGGCGCAAGCCUGAUGCAGCCAUGCCGCGUGUGUGAAGAAGGCCUUCGGGUUGUAAAGCACUUUCAGCGGGGAGGAAGGCGGUGAGGUUAAUAACCUCAUCGAUUGACGUUACCCGCAGAAGAAGCACCGGCUAACUCCGUGCCAGCAGCCGCGGUAAUACGGAGGGUGCAAGCGUUAAUCGGAAUUACUGGGCGUAAAGCGCACGCAGGCGGUCUGUCAAGUCGGAUGUGAAAUCCCCGGGCUCAACCUGGGAACUGCAUUCGAAACUGGCAGGCUAGAGUCUUGUAGAGGGGGGUAGAAUUCCAGGUGUAGCGGUGAAGUGCGUAGAGAUCUGGAGGAAUACCGGUGGCGAAGGCGGCCCCCUGGACAAAGACUGACGCUCAGGUGCGAAAGCAUGGGGAGCAAACAGGAUUAGAUACCCUAGUAGUC
RNAcentral lists this ribosomal RNA (465 nucleotides) under uncultured Klebsiella sp. Its description in RNAcentral is "bacterial SSU rRNA". It matches the Rfam family "Bacterial small subunit ribosomal RNA", at positions 338 to 795 of the family's 1533-position model. Lineage: Bacteria; Pseudomonadati; Pseudomonadota; Gammaproteobacteria; Enterobacterales; Enterobacteriaceae. The record is from RNAcentral.